AACAGGAUUAGAUACCCUGGUAGUCCACGCCGUAAGCGAUGUCGACUUGGAGGUUGUGCCCUUGAGGCGUGGCUUCCGGAGCUAACGCGUUAAGUCGACCGCCUGGGGAGUACGGCCGCAAGGUUAAAACUCAAAUGAAUUGACGGGGGCCCGCACAAGCGGUGGAGCAUGUGGUUUAAUUCGAUGCAACGCGAAGAACCUUACCUGGUCUUGACAUCCACGGAAGUUUUCAGAGAUGAGAAUGUGCCUUCGGGAACCGUGAGACAGGUGCUGCAUGGCUGUCGUCAGCUCGUGUUGUGAAAUGUUGGGUUAAGUCCCGCAACGAGCGCAACCCUUAUCCUUUGUUGCCAGCGGUCCGGCCGGGAACUCAAAGGAGACUGUUAGUGAUAAACUGGAGGAAGGUGGGGAUGACGUCAAGUCAUCAUGGCCCUUACGACCAGGGCUACACACGUGCUACAAUGGCGCAUACAAAGAGAAGCGACCUCGCGAGAGCAAGCGGACCUCAUAAAGUGCGUCGUAGUCCGGAUUGGAGUCUGCAACUCGACUCCAUGAAGUCGGAAUCGCUAGUAAUCGUGGAUCAGAAUGCCACGGUGAAUACGUUCCCGGGCCUUGUACACACCGCCCGUCACACCAUGGGAGUGGGUUGCAAAAGAAGUAGGUAGCUUAACCUUCGGGAGGGCGCUUACCACUUUGUGAUUCAUGACUGGGGUGAAGUCGUAACAAGGUAACC
Molecule: ribosomal RNA, 730 nt
Filed under: uncultured bacterium
Lineage: Bacteria
Description: bacterial SSU rRNA
Rfam family: Bacterial small subunit ribosomal RNA
Source: RNAcentral